Molecule: long non-coding RNA, 1075 nt
Filed under: Homo sapiens (human)
Lineage: Eukaryota; Metazoa; Chordata; Mammalia; Primates; Hominidae
Description: long intergenic non-protein coding RNA 1584
Source: RNAcentral
AGAACCAGGGAAGCUGACUGUGUAACUCCUAGUUGAGUGUGAAGACCUGAGGUAUCAGGGGUAGGGGUUGCUCUGCUUGUGUAAGUCCCAUAGUGUGAAGGCCAGAGAACCAAGAGAUGGUCAAGAAGAGAGAGUAAGUGUCCAAUGUCCCAGCUCAAGAAGAGAGAAAACUUUUGUGGAUAGCUAAGUUACUGCUAGCCAUCUGAUUAUAGCAAUGGCUUCCAGGAGCAUCACGACCUGUGCAGACUCCCCAGCAUCAUAACAGGAAGGUCCCACGAUCACGAGCACAUUGCCUUCAGCAUCCAGCACUGAAUAUGGUGAAUUGCACUCUGAAGAGCUUCCUAAGCUUGUAAGAAAGUGAUUCUGAAAAGCUCAACAUUUUGGUAGAAUGGAGAGAUUUGACAUUGCUUCUGCUCCAAAAGCAAAAGACUUGGGAAGGGCACCCUGGGAGUUGAGAACAUCCACCACAGAGAGGCCUGGCGUAAAGGAGAUGGGACUCACACCCAAGAGGAUGCAUUUCCAUACACCCAUUUCUGAAAUAUGAAGAGGUGUCCAGUCUGUUUGAUUCAUAGCUGCCUGUUCCACAACUGCAGAUACAGUAAUUGAUAACCGAGACCAAGUUCUCAUCCCCAUCUCCCAGGGCUGGAACUGGGGCUGUGUUUGGUUCUCAUAAGAUCAGUUCCAGUUUUAGAAACUGAGUAAAUUGUGGAGUAAAUAUUGCCAAGUGAUGGCUUUCUGCUGUAGGCGUGGGUCGCUGUUGGCCAUUUGCCUCAGCAUAUCACCAGCAAUGCACCUCAUUGCAUCACUGCAUUUCCAAUUACACCUCAAAGCACCACUGGUCCCCUGUCCACCCUCUGCCCUGCAGAGGUGGGUGUUCAGGGAGACAGAUCCAAAAUCUGGGCUCAGAAGAUGGAAAUGCCAACUGCUCUCAAUUUGAGAGUGGGGAUGAGACUUUUUGACUCAACUCUGGUUAAUUCAGCCAUGCUGUCAGAGCUGCUUUGAUGCAAGGACAUCUGAAUGCUAUCUGAAUGCUGCCCCUAAAAUAACAAAUUAAAAACAACAACAACAACAAAAA